GCUGGGCACAGUGGUGUGUACCUGUAGUCCCAGCUACUCAGGAGGCUGAGGUGGGAGGACUGCUUGAGCCCAGGUGUUUGGGGACCAGCCUGGGCAACACAGCAAGACCUUGUCUCAA
This 118-nucleotide small RNA is filed under the name Marmota monax (woodchuck). The record is from RNAcentral. Lineage: Eukaryota; Metazoa; Chordata; Mammalia; Rodentia; Sciuridae.